GGUGUAGCAAUACAUCACCGGCGGACGGGUGCGUAACACGUGGGAAUAUACCUUUUGGUUCGGAACAACGCAGGGAAACUUGCGCUAAUACCGAAUGUGCCCUUACGGGGAAAGAUUUAUCGCCAAAGGAUUAGCCCGCGUAGGAUUAGCUAGUUGGUGAGGUAAUGGCUCACCAAGGCUCCGAUCCUUAGCUGUUCUGAGAGGAAGAUCAGCCACACUGGGACUGAGACACGGCCCAGACUCCUACGGGAGGCAGCAGUUGGGAAUCUUGGACAAUGGGGGAAACCCUGAUCCAGCCAUGCCGCGUGAGUGAUGAAGGCCUUCGGGUUGUAAAACUCUUUCGACGGGGACGAUAAUGACGGUACCCGUAGAAGAAGCUCCGGCUAACUUCGUGCCA
This 397-nucleotide ribosomal RNA is filed under the name uncultured bacterium. RNAcentral's name for it is "bacterial SSU rRNA". It matches the Rfam family "Bacterial small subunit ribosomal RNA", at positions 69 to 510 of the family's 1533-position model. The record is from RNAcentral.